UUCUCUCUUUUUAGAACAUAUGGCUUUGACAACCUGUUGCCUGGAAGUGUGUAUACUGUUGAAGUGAGCAGUGUUAGCGGAGACAGGCGAAGCUUACCUGCUGCUGUAAAUGUUAACACACUUCCAGAACCUCCUGACGACCUCACUUUUAUUGAACAGGAAGUGAGCAGCAUGUAUGUGAUGUGGACACACCCACCGGGCAGCGUGGAUGGUUACAGGGUAGGGUGACUUUUCGUUUAUCCAAUCAGCAUCGAGAUCCACAUACUGUAGGGAUUUGGUCAUCGCAUAUGAUAGUGUAUUUUAACAUUUGAUUUUUGCUUGUUUGUUUACUUGAUUUAGCAAAUGAAUAGAAAUGGAUUGAAGCGGUUAUGUGGAAUGAGUUAUAGGAAUACUUUGUGUGUAUUGUAAGCAUGACUAGACUAGUAUCAGGGCCUUUGGACACCUGUUAAAACUUUCAUACUGACCGUCUCAGCUGAAAUGUAGCCUAGCAACACCCUCAUGUGCUCGGGUUUCUGCCUCUCUCAUAAUACAUGAGCACCAAUCCUUCAUUAUACCUUACAAACAGAAGGAAGGUAUUUGAGUGUUUGAUGUAAAGAUGCUUUUUGUGCAAUGCAAAGUCCCUCGGAAUAACCUGGGCUAAAGUGACUUUUCAAAGGGCAAUGGUAAUGAUCUUCCCACUUCCAAAAAAUAUACAGUAGUAAAAACUGAAAUAUUAUUACAAUUUAAAAUAACUAUUUCCUAUUUGAAUAUAUUUUAAAUAUAAUUUAUUUCUGUGAUGCAAAGCUGAAUUUCCAGCAUCCUUACUCCAGUCUUCAGUGUCACAUGAU
This is a long non-coding RNA of Cyprinus carpio (common carp), 827 nucleotides long. The record is from Ensembl. NCBI's taxonomy places the organism in Eukaryota, Metazoa, Chordata, Actinopteri, Cypriniformes, Cyprinidae.